This 292-nucleotide ribosomal RNA is filed under the name uncultured bacterium. Its description in RNAcentral is "partial 16S ribosomal RNA". It matches the Rfam family "Bacterial small subunit ribosomal RNA", at positions 505 to 796 of the family's 1533-position model. The record is from RNAcentral.
GUGCCAGCAGCCGCGGUAAUACGUAGGGGACGAGCGUUGUCCGGAAUUAUUGGGCGUAAAGAGCGUGUAGGCGGCUUAUCAAGUCCUGCGUGAAAUCUCGGGGCUCAACCCCGAGCGGUCGUGGGAAACUGGUUGGCUAGAGUGCGGGAGAGGAGAGUGGAAUUCCCAGUGUAGCGGUGAAAUGCGCAGAUAUUGGGAAGAACACCCGUGGCGAAGGCGGCUCUCUGGAACGCAACUGACGCUGAGACGCGAAAGCGUGGGGAGCAAACAGGAUUAGAUACCCUGGUAGUCC